UGCAAAUUGACUUUUCUCAAAUAAAAAGUAAAGCAUUAAAUUUCUUGAUUUCUUAUGAAAGAAACUAAACCCAGACUUUGAAAAAAAUAAUAAAUGAUGAAGGUAUGCAAAUGAGACAAGAAAAAUGUAAUUAAAGAGAAAACGGUUACCAUCAACGGAGACAAUUUACCACCCACAGAGCCAGGAUUUUGUUAGAGAGCAGACGGCGGCAGCGGAAAAGAGGAAAGGAGCAGACGGCGAAAGCGGAGAGGAGAGAAGCAGCGGUUCGGCGUAGAGAAGAGGAGAGGAUCAGCGGAGAGAAGAGGAACAGCACGGCAAGCGGCGGAAGCGGCAUGGGCAACGAACGGCAGCGGCGGAAGCGGCAGGGGCAACGAACGGCAGCGUUCAUUAAUAAUACCUGUUUCCUUAAUUAAAACUAACUUAGAAGAAUAUAAAUUUGUUCCAUAUUUUUUUUAGAAGAAUAUAAAUUUUUAAGAGCCUAUUUUAUUUUCUCGAUCAAUAUCCCAAAAAAAAAAAUAUAUAAAUUUCAUCCAAAAUUCAUAACACAGGCAAAUUCAAGAAUUGAUGGGUGGGUAAAGAAAGCAUAAUUUCAUAAUUUCAUAGUGUUGGCCGCAAGAAAAUGAUGGAAAUUUUACAGGAUGAACUGAUAGCCGAAAUUCUGAAAAGGGUACCGAACCAGGACCUCUUGCAAUGCACUGAAGUCUGCAAAUCUUGGUAUUAUCUUCUCAAAUCCUCUUUUUUCAUUUUCCAAACCCAUCUUCCCCAUGUUCAAGCUUCAAACUCGAACCCGCAUUUAGUCAUUUUGUGCCACGUUUGGCCUGAAAACGGUUAUGGGAUGUCAUUUCAUGAUGAUAAUACUGAAGAGUUCAUUGAGUGCGAGUUACCUGCUCACUUCUAUUCCAUGUCCAAAUCAAGUCUCUAUUCCUCUUGCAAUGGCCUUCUUUUAUUUCUUCGGGAUUCUGAUUAUAUCCUUCGGAAUCCAUCCAUUUCCCGAUCACUAACUCUUCCGAAACCAAAACUUAAUCAUGGGGAAGAAUUCUGUGGUCUAGGUUUUGAUUCUACCACUAAUGAUUUCAAAGUGUUAAGGUUGUUGUGUGGAUGUGAAAAACCUAGACCCGUUGUUCAGGCUGAGGUUUACUCUGUUAAUGCAGGUUCUUGGAAGAAUAUUUCUCAUAUCACACCAAAGUACGAAAUCCCAUAUCAUAUUCUUUUUAAACCUCAGUGUAUACCCUUUGUUAAUGGUGCAUUGCAUUUGAUUGCUUAUGAUGGUCGCGGUGAUAAGGGCAUCAGUUUGGUGCUUGUCUUUGAUGUUAAACAUGAAAUCUUUCGCGAAAUAUUAUUGCCCCGCUGUUUGCAAAAGGCUCCGUCUGAUAUGUUGUUUGUUAUCGCAUAUGGGCAAUCAAUUGCAGUUGUGCAUAUAUAUGAUACCGCUAUUAGGAAUGAUGUAUGGGUGAUGAAAGAGUAUGGCGUGUACGAUUCAUGGACCAACUUAGGCAAGUUGCAGAAUGAAACAGACAAAUCAUCAGUUGCAAUGUUCUUGAGGAAGAAUGGGCAACUCAUGAUAGAUUCUGGUUUUGGGGAAAUAUUUUCAUUUGAUUUUGCUACUCAAACCUUCGUCGAUCUCUUCCCGGAUUUGGAGGAAAUGAGGGAUAAUUGUCCUGCUACUGUUUUUAGCUAUAUUGAGACCCUAGCCUUACUUGAUAGAGGAAACUUUAAAGAUAAAUCAAGCCGGUCGCAGAAUUUAGGAGACCCAGCUAAUUAAUUUGGUUUAGAUGAUGUGCUCAGAAAGAAGCUGUAGUAGUGGGGGAAGGUAAUUUGUUCAACUUCUGUACUUUAUAGUCUCUCAUGGAGUGAUUGAUACAACUAACGCCUUUUCUUUCUCGAAUGCAAGCAAAGGGGAUUUGAAUUGAAUUUUCGAGUAUUUUCAGCUGUUGUUUUAGCUCUCUUUUUUCAUAUGCAUAUGUCAUUUGAAGUCGACUCUAUGUCAUUUGGCUAUUACGUUGCUAAUCACAAUACAACUGACGUGUGGUUUGUUAUGAAUCAAGAUGCAGAAUUUAGGUACCACCACAGUAUUGGUUUUGCUGUUUAUGUUACCAUUCACUAAGAUAUAUCAUUUAUUCUCUAUCUUGAUGUCUGCUUUGAUGUUUAAUAACAGAUAAUGGAAGUUUUACUUUAACAUAUCAUUUGUGUUGCUAAAUUUCUGUUGAUGGUGUAAUCAGUAAAUGCAAUGUUCUAGCUAGUAUUUAAAAAUCGGAUUAGAAGCUAAAAAGAAAAGAGGCCUUCUUAUUAUACAAUCCGACCAGCUAGUCCAACAUGUCGAACCGUGAAUUAGUGGCCUAUUAGGUUCAGCCACCGGUUCAGCGUUUAGAACAUUAGUUCUAUAAUUGACAACAAUGGAAAUCACAAAUGUUGGAUUUAGAUGCUAUAUAUAUAUGUAAUAAAAACAUGAGUCGGAAUUGUUCUUGCAACUUGCAAGACUUCUUCUGCAAGCAAAAUGAGUGGAAAAGUAGUAUCAUUAUGUUUAACUGUCUAAGUAUCUGUAUAAAAAAACGAAUUCUGAUAUUAGAUGGUUACAAAGAUGGUUGAUAUUAGAGAUUGCAGAUCAUGAUAUCUGAAAAUGUGCUAAAGCUAUAUUUUGAUUAUGAACAUGCAAUAAGAUUUUGUCUAUUAAUGUUGCUAAUGCUGAAUUGAUGAAACUUUUGGUGUUUAUAUGUGCUUAGAGACCACUAAAGUAAAUUGAUUCACUCUGUGCACUUGGUAUAGCUUUUUGUUUGAGUUUCAAGUUUUAACCCACCGAUUAGACAAUUGAAUUGGUUGAACCACAAAUAGGAAAUUACCAACUGAGAAAUUUGUCUAUAUAUACCAAAUUAAUUAUCUUUUGUUGUGUUUAUCUUGAUCCAAUUCAACCCAGGACCAAGUCAGCUUUUUUUUUUUUAUUAUAUUAUCAGAAAUUAUGGAGUUCUGAAAUGCCACCCAUCUUUAUUUUGACUUUACAAAUAAUGUACUAUAUUUAUUUACAAAAUAUCUGAACCAGUCUUCUGAAAUGAAAUUUCGUUGAAUUUCCCACACAAAAUUGAUAAAUAUUUGAAAAUUGUAGGGUUUGUAAUUGGAAAUUAGUAAUCUGUAUCCCUUAUCUCAAUAAAUAAUAGCUGAGUAGAAGCUAUUUUCGCCUUCGUCGACGCUGCUGAGCUGGAAGCCGUGGAGGCUUUGGUUCUUUCGCCGCCUUCUUGGUGACUUUCAUUGAUUUUGUUCCGCCUUGGCUGACUUGCCGGAGUGGGUUUCAGCCAUUUGAAUUAACUCAGAGGGUUGAAUCAAUAAAAACUUCUUCCUGAUAUCAGCCAAAGAAAAUGAUUGAAAUUCUACCUGACGAAUUGAAAGCAGAAAUUCUGAAAAGGGUACCAAAUAAAGAGCUCUUGCGAUGCACUGUAGUCUGCAAAUCAUGGUAUUCUCUUAUUAAAUCCCCUUCUUUUAUAUUUAAUACCCAUCUUCCCCAUAUUCAAGCUUCAGAUUCGAAACCGAAUUUAGUCAUUAUGUGCCACUAUUUUGACCCUAACAAUUAUGUGAUAUCAUUCCAUGAUGAUGAUACUGAAGAGUUGAGUGAGUGUCAUUUGCCUCCUCAUUUCUAUUCCAUGUUCAACUUAAGGCCCUAUGCCUCUUGCAAUGGUCUUCUUUUAUUUCGUGAGUCCUCCGAGUAUCUCCUAUGGAAUCCAUCGAUUUGCAGAUCACUAAGCCUUCCAAAACCAAAGCUAAAUAGACCCAAGGGGUGUGAAUUAUCUAGUUUAGGUUUUGAUUCUACCACUAAUGAUUUCAAAGUACUAAGGGUGUUGUCUGAUUUUGAUUUUGAAAAGUCUAGGCCCAUUGUUGAGGCUGAGAUUUACUCUCUUAAUGCAGCUUCUUGGAAGAAUCUUUCUCAUAUUACACCACAGUAUUAUAUCAUACCUCAAGUUUUUCUUAAACGCCAGUGUAUGCCGUUUGUGAAUGGUGCAUUCCAUAUGAUUGCAUUUGAUUCCAGUAGUGAUGAUAAGGGACAGAAUUUGGUGCUUGUCUUUAAUGUGAAAGAUGAAAGCUUUCGCGAGAUAUUAUUGCCCCAGUGUUUGCAGAACACUCGCCUUGAUAUGUUGUUUGUUAUCGCAUAUGGGCAAUCUAUUGCAGUUGUUCAUAUUUAUGAAACCGCUAUGAAGAAUGAUAUAUGGGUGAUGAAAGAGUAUGGCGUGUACAAUUCAUGGACCAACUUAGGCAAGUUGCAAAAUGAAGAGAAUGCAUCAGUUGCAAUGUUCUUGAGGAAGAAUGGGCAAUUCAUGAUAGAUUCUGGUUUGGGGAAAUUUUUUUCAUUUGAUUUUGCUACCCAAAGUUUCAUAGAUCUCUUCCCGGAUUUGGAGGAUAUUGAGUAUACGGGGGAUUUUUGGUCUGCUUCUGUUUUUACCUAUAUGGAGACUCUGGCCUUACUUGAUAUAGUAUAGGAAACGUUGAAGAUGAAUUAGGCGACUCGCAUAAUUUAGGAGAUUCAACUAAUGAACUUGGUUUAGAUGAUGCACUGAGAAAGAAGCUGUAAUAGUGGAUGAAGAAGGUGGAGGCGGAGAUGCGUCUCUCCUACUGCCGUGUCCAAUCCCCUCGGAACUGCCGUCUUUGCUACUGUUGUGUCCACCUCCCACGUCUACAAACACCACCAUCUAUUAACAGAUCUGACGACCCGCAACAACAUGUAUUUCUUUAGAUCCGGUGACGACCGCUUCAAGAAUUAACAAAGGUAGUCGGAGUAGAAUGAAGAUAGUCGGAGUUGAACAAAGAAGGCAAUCGGAGCGGUACGAAGGUAGGCGAACGAUGAACGAAGGGAGGGGAAUGGCCAUCGGCGGCGAACGAUGAACUUGUUGUGAUGAUUUUUUGUUUUUCCACUUAUUUAUCUGUAAUGAUUUUGUGUUAGUUAACCAAUGGUUUACUAAUAGUGUAAGUAAAUCUUGGAUAGACAAUUAAUUAACUUGUAAUAAAUUUUAUUUUAAAUAUAUCGUUAUUAAAUCGUUAGUAAAGUGUAACUAAAAA
RNA transcript from Mercurialis annua (annual mercury), 5037 nucleotides. It is a transcript of the gene named F-box protein At3g07870-like, with no coding region annotated. The record is from RefSeq and is a predicted model, not a curated record. The transcript has 4 exons. Lineage: Eukaryota; Viridiplantae; Streptophyta; Magnoliopsida; Malpighiales; Euphorbiaceae.